UACAGAGGUGGCAAGCGUUGUUCGGAAUUACUGGGCGUAAAGCGCGUGUAGGCGGUUAUCCAAGUCGGGGGUGAAAGCCUUGAGCUCAACUCAAGAAAUGCACUCGGUACUGGGUGACUAGAGGACCGGAGAGGAUAGUGGAAUUCCCAGUGUAGUGGUGAAAUACGUAGAGAUUGGGAAGAACACCUAUGGCGAAGGCAGCUCGCUGGGACGUUACUGACGCUGAGACGCGAAAGCGUGGGGAGCAAACAGG
This 253-nucleotide ribosomal RNA is filed under the name uncultured bacterium. RNAcentral describes it as "partial 16S ribosomal RNA". It matches the Rfam family "Bacterial small subunit ribosomal RNA", at positions 524 to 776 of the family's 1533-position model. The record is from RNAcentral.